AUGAGAAGACCUUCUCGUUAGCUGAUCUAGAUCCUUUCUUCAAAUCUCUUAAAUCUUUUUAGAGGUUGAAGAUGAACUUUUGGAGGAGAUGAAGAUGUAAAAGAAGUGUGAAGAGAAAAUAAUUUUUCCUCUUAUUUUUCCUUCUUCCCAAACCCUAGGUCCAAACCCUAGGGGAUUUAGAUUUUGUGCUCACUUAAAG
This 199-nucleotide long non-coding RNA is filed under the name Elaeis guineensis (African oil palm). RNAcentral describes it as "long non-coding RNA (EGUI_LNC068924)". The record is from RNAcentral. Lineage: Eukaryota; Viridiplantae; Streptophyta; Magnoliopsida; Arecales; Arecaceae.